UUUAUCUAUUUAGGAUUCUUUCCAUUUGAUGCCAUUGAAAAGAUAUUUUGACGAUUAAAAGUUCAUAUGCAGAGAAUCCCAAAAUGUUCAAUUACAGAUAUGUGCUUUGCUUGUAGUAUUUGGGGAUCCUGCAUAUGGGUACUCUGAUGAGGGGUCUGGUAGAAACAAUUUCUUCUUUGAAUAAGGAUACUGUGAAUUGUUCAAAAGUACAAUAACAUAAUGUCACAAAAGUUAAAAUGCUACAAAUCAGUCUUAGAUACUUCUCUCUUUACAGAAUUAUAGAAAGAUCAACAAUUUACUGCUGGUAUUGGUUUGCAUUUGGUAGGUGAAAAAUACAGUGUUAUUUGUUUUAACUCUAAAAUACUCCACAAAGCAAAUUCGUGUUCAAAACUAUAUCUAAAACUAUUAGUUAUGUCUCUUGGCUCUUUAGAUUUAGUUGAAAGGCAACACCUCUUGCUUCUUUUGCUCCUUCUUAUAUAGGAUUGAGGAUGAUAAAUAGGAACUUUUACAUUGAUCCAAUUAACCUGUGUAUAUUCAGAUAAUAAAGGCUGUUUAUGUAGUCAUAAUUUGUUCUAAAAUAAGAAAUGUAGAAUAAAUUAUGAUACUGUGGAGUUAUUAGUAUUCAUUUUUAUAACUACAGCAAAACUGGCACCUUAAACUUAAGGUCAUACCUCAACUUCAAGGGCAAUACCUUCUUCUGUCAAACUUGCUAUGAGAGCAAUAAGAGUUAGACAUAAUAGCUCUCUUUAAAAAUUACACAUGUAAUAUAUAGGCAUGUCUUAAAUACACAAUAUAUAUGUAAAUGAACUCACAUGUGUAAAUACUCAGUAUGCCCAUUUUAAGGUAUAUAUAUUCCCAAAUAUCUGUAUCUAUAAUGAUAUUUGACAAUCUAGGGAUUAAAGGUAAAAUUAUUUUAAAAACUUGCAUGUUAUAGUUAAUUUUGUUGAUAUUUUAUCAUCAUCUAUUUCUUUUUAUCCCACUAACAAAAAUUAGUAAGGCAGAGGGGUAACUGUUCAGAUUUUUAGAAAACUCUUAAGUUUCUUAUGAAUAUGUAAUGUGCCAUAGCUUAUAUCAUAUAAUGACUCAUCAUUUCGUAAACUACAGAGAGAAAAAGCAGCAGGGAAAAUGUUUAACUCUUACUCUUGUUUUCUUAUAAUACAAAGUACAAUGUACAAUUCUUAAUUACUACAUUUUCCUUAACAUGAACUUGAGUGGUUACAAAACAUUACAGGAAAAACAGGUUUGUAUAACUUUGUAGUAAUCUGUAAUAAAAUCAAUUGUAUAGUUAUCAAACAGAUAGAAAUUGUUUUUAAAGUUCUGCCCACAUUUCUCUUACUUUUCUGUCAGUAGUGUUGGCAUACUAGAAACAGCCUAAUUUCUCUGUUGUCUUGAAAUUUGUUGAAUUGAACUCUCACUACCCAAAUUCAACUCAUGUCUUUUGAGUAUCUGAUGCCAACAAUCUGGAUGUCUGAAAUAAUUUGAAUGUCUGACAUUUUUUCUUAUUGAAUAUUUAUUAUGAUAUCAACACAGUCUAUAUUGUGGCAACUUGAGUGCAUGUUGGUCCAUCUUUGGUCAUCAUAUUUUCUAGACCAUUUCACGGUUUUUUACAACUCAUAGAAUUUAAGUAUGACAUUAAUCUGGAUUGCCCAAAUUGCUCGGAUAUCAGGUAUCUUUCAGAGUGUUUUCAAGUAGCAGUUAUCUAUUACACCACAAGUGGUAUGAUGAUGUUUUGAAAGUUGUUCAAUGGGGGUGUGUAAACUGAUUUCAAAACACCUUAAAACAACAAUUUAAUAGGAGUCACAAACAUGAUUAAUUCCUCUUAUAUUGUUGAAUCUUCUGUAUUAAACAGAAGAUUUUUUGAAUGAUUUUCUUGGUUAUAUGAAUUAAAAUGCCGCUUUUUCAGUAAAGAAUUUUUGGUUUGAAUGAUUUUCUUGGUUCUAUGAAUUAAAAUGUUAUCUGAAUUUUGUUUGAAUUAUUUUCUUGGUUAUAUGAAUUAAAACACCCCCUUUUCAGUAAAGGAUUUUUGGUUUGGAAGCUUGUUUAGGUCUGAAAAAUUAAUCUUUGGUAAAAAUUUUGAUUCUGUUGACUUCAUUUUCAGAUGUAACUCAAUCUUUAAGGACUUUAGUAUCUUUAGCAUUAACAAUAAAAUCUACCCAUUUUAUUUUAAUUGAUAUGGAAAACAUGAGCUGAUGAGCCAAGCAUUUUUUUUUCUUCCAAAUAAAAAUAUUAAUUUGAAUGACUUUUUUAGAUAGUGAAGACACAGUCAUAUUUAUUUGCUUCACAUGUAAUAAACUUGUGUUUUAGCUACUAGUUCAAAUACCUUGAAUAGAAUUUUCACUGUGUCUUGGGAUUAUUUAUAUGACAACUGCAAAAUCAGUUAGAGCUUAUGAGGUACAAAUUCUUAGAUAGUCUUACCACUUAGAGAUAAGACUACUGCCAGCUAUGCUACAUUUAUAAAAGCAGGAAGAGGGAAGAUCACCAACAUUUUUGUUGAUUUGUUUCUCAAAGUUUCCUUAAUUCCUUGUUAUUGAUGCCAUGACUUUUGAGACUCUCUUGAUUUCUUAACUGCAUACAGUAAAUCCUUCUUUGGCUUAUUGUUUAUUUAGCAUUUCACAAGAAUAUGAAGAGUGAUGUAAUAAGCCCAAUGAACAAAUCAACAGAACAUUGAUACAUUCUGUUUCCAUUUCUUCCAUUUGCUCUUACUGGCGGAGUAAAAAUAUCACUGAGGCAUUAUUUUGGAAAGCUUGUUCACUAAAGUGGCCCAGAGGCUUUAUAAGCAAUUUAAACCCGUGAUCUAUGCAAUGAGUUCACAUUGAUGCAGUUCAUGGUGAAUGGCAUGAUUGUCAUUUUGAAAUAACACUUCCUACUAUGCUCCUAUAUGUGAUUGUGCUAGGUACAAUUAAACUUGCUGUUUAUCAGAAUAUCAAUUUUUAAAAACCUAGUUAUUUGCAGUAGGAAUUUUUGACAGCUCUUCCUUUGAGGAUUCUAUUUUACAGUUUAAGUCAUUAUUGCAUAAAUCAUCCUUGGCAGCUGUGAAAUAUUGCUUGAGGUGAUAAAGCUGUAAAUCUUUUGACAUAAAACUCUAAUUAUACAAAACUAUAAUUAUGCUGUGACUUAUAUAAGGAUGGGCAUGCAUUUUAAUAGCAUAAUAGAUUCAUUUAAAAACACCUUUUCAGCAACAAAGUUUAAAAAAUAGCAAACACUUCAGUUAUUAACUAGUUCGUAGUUUGUAGAUGAUGCAAAUAGAAAGGAAACAGAAAAAAAAUAGCUCCCACAACUAAGUUUAUCCUUCAUCUUGUUUGGACUACGUCACAGAAUAGAGCGAGCUAGUUUAAGUGCUAACCCCCUUCAGGCAUAUUUAGAAAUGUGACAUUGACCUUAAAUUAUCAAGCAACUUUAAACAUUUGAAAAAUCAAAGUAAAUUUCUCCACUAGAAAUAAAGAUCUUUACUCAGUUGGAAAGAAGGACUUAAAAUGUAUUAUUUUUUGAGGUCAGAACAUUCUUGUAUUUUUGCCAUUAUGCUUCCAUACACACUAUGGUAGCAAUUUUGCUAACAAAUCAGAAAUACAUAGUGCUACUUUCCUUAUCUUCAUGCUGCUUUUAAAGAACUGAAGAAUGAUAAGGGGCUGAGGUAAGUCCUUGCCUAAUCCAGUCAGAUAUCACUACAGAGGUAGAGUUUUAUUAACUAAACUCAGAAGAGGUCUUGCUUUGGUAGUAUUGAACUUACUAUAUCUGAGCAUUAUGUGGAAAGAUCUUCUAAAAACAGCUUUAUUUUUGUGAAUCAAGGCGAAGAUGUAGAUUGAGCGCCUCCUCUCUCUCAUGUAAUGUACCAGGCACUAUAAGAACAGUAGGAAGAGAUACAUAGGAGGAUUUCACCUGAUCUCUGUGGAACACUUGUAUUACAGAGUGGCUAAUGUUCAUUUCUAUCUUCUACAUUGCAGCUGUUUUUAUAAAAUUAUUUUUAAAGGAAAAACAGUAUUUGGACUAUGGGGUUGUUAAAUGCAUAGAGAGCCUACAAAAUUUAGUAUUAAUUGCUGUUUUCCUUCUAUUCCCCAAAUUUAAAAUAAACAUGCUUAUGUGUAUCUUUUUUCACCUUUGUCAUGUAUACAUAAUAAUAUAUUAAAGAAGCAAUGAAGUUUAGUUAAAAGUUUAUUAGCACAAACAGAAAUUCCAAAAACUUUCAUAAUAGCUUUAUAUAAGUUAUAUGGCAUAUAAAAUAUUCAGCUCUCUUAAUUCUUGGAUUGUGUAGAAGAGAUACAGAUGGUAGUUUUUUAGACAAGAACAAAAAUAUAUUUUUUGUGUGCGUAAUUCAAGCAAUGAGAAAGAUUUUCAGAGAGUAUCUUGCCUAGAGUUUGCUUGGGUGUUCAUUUUAACUUUCUGUUUAUAAAUUUUUAUGUUCUAUUCAAUAGACUAUUGCAACAACAGUAAUCCUAAAAUUCAUUUCUUUCAUGUGCCUAAAUAUUAUCCAGAAUUCAAAUUUGAUCAGUUGUAAUUAUUGGUAAAAUAGGCAUUCUCAAUAGACGCUCUUCUUCACAAUUCGAAAACAAUUUCAAUAUUGUCCUAAGUAAAACCAAAUAUCCUAAAAUGUAGGUGAGCUGUGUUUAUCAGUUACUUUUCACUAUUCACCAACAUCAUACCUCUAAGCAGCUCUGGUGCCAACAAGAAGCCAUGUUGUCUGCCAGCUUGAGAGCGAACUUCUCAGUUAUUUUCACAUCCAAGGGGCUUGAGAAGAGGUCAGUUUAGUAUUAUACAAACAAGAUAGGGUAAUGGGAGAAACAAGGCUUUUGGUUGGUUUUGUUUUUGUUGUUGUUGUUGUUUCCUAUAAGUAAUCUCUGAGUCCAUUGCUAGCAAUCUGGCCAGCCCAGUUAGUUGAGCCACAGGGAAGUAAUAGUUGGGGUAUGAGUACUGAGCUGUCACCAUUCAUCUGGGCUUGUAAAUUAGAAACUUUGGCAUAAUUUUUCACUUUUCUCCAUCUCUCAGCUCCCUAAAAUCAAGUCGUUACAAAUCCUUUCAAUAUUUACAUCAGAAAUAUCUCUCAAUGCUUCCUCCAUUUUUCCAACCACUUCAAGUGGUCUGAUUAAAGCCUGUUGUCCUCCUGAAGUAAUCAGGUUUCUAGUUUCUCUCCUCCAAUACAUUCUCUAUAUGCUAUCAGAGAGCUAUUCCCAAAACAUGAAUCACCUACACUAAUGGCUUAUUAGUGCCAAAAAUUACUGAAAGUAAAUUUUAUAUAUCAAAUAGUGGAUACAACCAUCCCAUAAAAUGUAUAUUCUUAUUAUCCCCAUUUUGUGGAAAUAACACUGAGGCCCAGAGAGACUGAAUAAUUUGCCAAAUUGCACAUAGCUUAUACAUGGUGGAGACUGAGCCCUUAACAAAUUUGCCUUAUAGCUGCUCGAUGUACCAAUAUCAGACCUCAGCUUGAAAACCUGUUUUCAGUCAUUAAACCUCUCAGGAUACUGGCUGCCUUCAGAAUUGAAUUCACUAGGGAUUUCAAGAAUGGUGUUGUCUUAGUCUUUUCCUGCUGUGAUAACAAAAUACCUUAGAGUGGGUAACUUACAAAUAAUAGAGAUUUAUUUCUCACAGUUUUGGAGGCUGGGAAGCCCAAUAUCAAGGCAUAAGGCUGGUAAAGGUGGUUUCUUCACUUUCAAGAUGGAACUUUGUUGCCUGUGACCUCACAAGGCAGAAUACAGAGGGCUAAAAGGGGUAGUCAUCUCUCUGAAGACUCUUAAAGGCAUUAAUCCCAUUCAGGAGAGUGGAGCCCUUAUGACUUAAUCACACCCCAAAAAGUCUACACUUCUUACUACUCUUAUGUUGGGGUUGAAGUUCCAACGUAUGAAUUUUGAAGGAACACAUACAUUAAAACCAUCAUAGAAUAUACAGAAGAGUGACUAGUACUAAAUGGGUGCACUGUCAUGUUUCCAGAGUAAGAAGAAGGUGUCCUAGUGAAAUUUCAUACCGGCCAACAUUCAUUAUUUUAAAUAUAUUCACAGCAAAGUGUGCAUAGUGUGAGUUAGACAACAUUUUGUCUUAAUUACUGGCACCCUCAAUAACUUCAAUAAUGUAUUUUCCUCUAAAGAAUACUUCAUCUCAAAGAGUUACUACUUUUUGUUAUUAAUCUAAACUUUUUGAAAAUAGGAAGAAUGCUGCUUACAGCCUUUA
Molecule: long non-coding RNA, 6156 nt
Organism: Callithrix jacchus (white-tufted-ear marmoset)
Lineage: Eukaryota; Metazoa; Chordata; Mammalia; Primates; Cebidae
Source: RefSeq, a predicted model, not a curated record